CAUCACCUGAUGAAUGAAUAAGUUUCAGGAUAUCCACCAAUGGAAUAUUAUUCAGCAAUAAAAAGGUUUGAUGUAAUGAUAGAUGCUAAAAACAUGGAUGAACCUUGGAAAUAUUUAAAGUAAAAUAAGACAGGUGUGAAAGACAUACAUUGUAUGAUUCCAUUCAUAUGCAAGUCCAGAGCAUGUAAAGCUAUAUAGAAAGUCAGUUCGUGGUUAUGUAGGCCUAGGAUGUAGAUCGGUGGGGGGCAGGGAGUGAUAGCUAAAGGACAAGGGGUUUUUUUUCUUCUUCAUUUUUUGAGAUGGAGUCUCACUCUGUCACCCAGGCUGGAGUGCAGCGGCACAAUCUUGGCUCACUGCAACCUCCGCCUCUCCGGUUCAAGCGAUUCUCCUGCUUCAGCCUCUCAUGUAGCUGGGAUCACAUGUGUGCCACCAUGCCCAGCUGAUUUUUGUAUUUUUAGUAGAGGCGGGGUUUCACCAUGUUGGCCAGGCUGGUCUCGAACUCUUCACCUCAAGUGAUUCACUCACCUCGGCCUCCCAAAGUGUUGGGAUUACAGGCGUGAGCCACUGCACCCAGCCUAGGGGUUUUCUUUUUGAGGUGAUAAAAAUGUUCUAAAGUUUAUAGUGAUGAUGCUUGCAAUUUCUAUAAGUAGACUUAAUGCAGUGAUGGUUGCAAAUUCUAUAAAUAUAUUUAAUGUGGUGAUGGUUGCAAAUUCUAUGAAAAACCCAAAUUGUACAAUUUCAAUGAGUGAAAGCAUGCUAUGUGAAUGUCUUCAUAAAGGUUUUAUUUAAAAAAUGAGCAAACGGUAGAAUGUUAACAUGGCCCACGUCUAUGUGGUGUCUAUAUUGGUUUCUAUUAUAUGUUUUCUAUGUGGUUGAAACAUUCCUAAUAAAAUGUGCAUAGUUUUUUAAAAAAGAAAACACAUCAGUGGACGUGAAUGCAGGAUGUCUUAUGAAUGCUCACACAGAAGCUCCCAUUCGUGAGGAAUGCAGGGAAAAGCAGAAGAUGGAGUAGGAGUUGGCAUGGCCCAGCUAGCUCAGAUGACACACGAUGGUCCCAGUGGCAUGACUUGGUUUGUGUGAUUUGUGCCUUGGGGUUUUAUUUUGGCACAUUAUAAAGGAGUAAAUAAAGCCUGUAUACAGUCAGUUUCUGUCUAUUCUAAUGAAGGGCAAGGGGAUGAAGGGAUUUACCUUGAGUAACCAUCCACUUACAUUUAUUAGGAAUCUUGUGAUCCUAUCGUCACCCGUGAGAUUUCUGUGUUGUUUGUGUUUAAUGUCAGAGAAUAUCUUUUAAUCGCUCAUACAGUUUAUGCAAAUACCGUAUACGUGAUAAACGUCCCUACAACAUGAUCUUUGGAAUGAACUAAGACAAAGGAAACUCUGAGGAAGGACCAUGGCCUGAGAGGUGGAAUUCAUCCUUCCGAGGACUGAGAUGAGGACGGAAAAUGAACCAUCGGGGGGAUUGACGGUGAAGAUGCUAAUACCUGCCCAGCAUCGACCCUAGUGCGGGUCCCAAGACCAUCCCCCUGUGCAGGCUCCACCACCGCUGUGCUAACUGGACCGCGGCAGAAGAGUGGGUGUGUGCCAGGUUUCUGCUGGGCCCUGCAGCUCCUCCCCCCAGCCCCAUGUGAUGUGCCCCUGGCCAUUGACACUCAGUUCGAGGGAAGGCACUGGGGUGUACACUCAAA
This 1685-nucleotide long non-coding RNA is filed under the name Homo sapiens (human). RNAcentral describes it as "non-protein coding lnc-ZNF782-3:3". Lineage: Eukaryota; Metazoa; Chordata; Mammalia; Primates; Hominidae. The record is from RNAcentral.